This 301-nucleotide ribosomal RNA is filed under the name uncultured bacterium. RNAcentral's name for it is "partial 16S ribosomal RNA". It matches the Rfam family "Bacterial small subunit ribosomal RNA", at positions 509 to 808 of the family's 1533-position model. The record is from RNAcentral.
CAGUCGCCGCGGUAAUACGUAGGUGGCAAGCGUUGUCCGGAAUUAUUGGGCGUAAGGGCUCGCAGGCGGUUUCUUAAGUCUGAUGUGAAAGCCCCCGGCUCAACCGGGGAGGGUCAUUGGAAGCUGGGAAACUUGAGUGCAGAAGAGGAGAGUGGAAUUCCACGUGUAGCGGUGAAAUGCGUAGAGAUGUGGAGGAACACCAGUGGCGAAGGCGACUCUCUGGUCUGUAACUGACGCUGAGGAGCGAAAGCGUGGGGAGCGAACAGGAUUAGAUACCCCCGUAGUCCCUGUCUCUUAUACA